GCCAGUGUGGCGUCGUGGUUUGAGUGUUGGACCACAACUCUGGAGUCCAGGGUUCGAAUCCCCCGUUCGGCCA
This is a non-coding RNA of Phrynosoma platyrhinos (Desert horned lizard), 73 nucleotides long. The record is from the annotation of a GenBank genome assembly. NCBI's taxonomy places the organism in Eukaryota, Metazoa, Chordata, Lepidosauria, Squamata, Phrynosomatidae.